ACCAAAUAUAUUCUAUUCUCCAUAACAAUAAUUAUAGUGUCAAAUAGCAAUUACAGGAUACCGACAAAAAAUAUACGAACAAUUGAAUCCUUGUCAUAAGCAUAUUGUUUUACACAAUGACCGAUGGUCAAAGGAUAUACUUCAACGCCAAUGCAUUGAAUAUUAUCUUUUUACAAUUGUUGAUAGGUGACGUCCCCCAUGGUCUGUUAACAAUCGGAAUAAAGGGUUCACCAAGAGGGCA
RNAcentral lists this long non-coding RNA (241 nucleotides) under Mytilus galloprovincialis (Mediterranean mussel). Lineage: Eukaryota; Metazoa; Mollusca; Bivalvia; Mytilida; Mytilidae. The record is from RNAcentral.